Molecule: ribosomal RNA, 405 nt
Filed under: uncultured bacterium
Lineage: Bacteria
Description: partial 16S ribosomal RNA
Rfam family: Bacterial small subunit ribosomal RNA
Source: RNAcentral
GAUGAACGCUGGCGGCGUGCCUAAUACAUGCAAGUCGAGCGAAGCGGGGACGGGUGAGUAAUACGUGGCUAACCUCCUAUAAGACUGGGAUAACAUCGGGAAACCGGAGCUAAACCGGAUACUUAUUGAUUGAUCCGCGCUGCAUUAGCUAGUUGUUAAGGUACCGGCUUACCAAGGCAACGAUGCAUAGCCGACCUGAGAGGGUGACCGGCCACACGGGUGCGACGACACGGUCCCGACUUCUACGGGAGACAGCAGUAAGGAAUCUUCCGCAAUGGGCGAAAGCCGAUCGGAGCAACGCGGCGUGAGUGAUGAAGAUCUUCGGAUCGUAGAGCUCUGUUAUUAGGGAUGCGGUACCUAAUCAGAAAGCCCCGGCUAACUACGUGCCAGCAGCCGCGGUAAUUC